Molecule: long non-coding RNA, 1048 nt
Organism: Maylandia zebra (zebra mbuna)
Lineage: Eukaryota; Metazoa; Chordata; Actinopteri; Cichliformes; Cichlidae
Source: RefSeq, a predicted model, not a curated record
CGUAAUGUUAUUUCAAAUUAGAAUGAUGUAACGUUUUGGCGGUUUUCCGUGGGGGACAACAUUUCCCAUAAUGCAUUGUAUUCUUGCCCGGGAAGUUGACGGUGGCAGUUCUAGCUCCAUGCAUUUGAACUUUCUACUAAAACUUUCCACUGGUUGUCGUAUUCGCCGGUAAUGUACGUGCGUAUUAUAUCAGACUGCAAAGAGUGCUACAGAGAGUCAACAUUUCACCAGUUGUCAGUGGGAACAGCAUGAUGUAAAUACAAGACGGGCCCUCGUCCUUCGUGCACUUCCUGUGUACCUGCGUGAAGAUGCCUCCACGUUAUUCAGGACUUGUGAUUCAGCAGAUGGUCCAGACCUCACUGACACUCCUGUGGCUCUGCUGACAGUUGUCACGGAUGACACUACUGAUUCGGCCCUCUUCAGUCCCGAAAGCAUCUGCAUUGUCGUUGAGGAUGAAAUACUUGUGAAUGGUCCCACAAAUCUGGCUGAGUCAUUUCUCCUGCUCUUUGGGUACAUCUAUGCAUUAGACCUACAAUACCCAAAGAAACUUGAGCUUACAUUCACAUUUAUCCAAAAGGUUGUGAUGUGCCUUGAGGACAACAAACCACUGAAAGGGCGUCUACUGAUGCUGAAGAAUGAUUUUUUCAAUGAGUGAAUCACUCAGAAUGGACUACUUGUUAAGCUGAGUAUUGAGGAAGCUUUUUUGUUUGUUUUUUUCCUAAUCAUUUGCCUCUUCUACCUCACAUUUAAGAUGAAUGACUGUUCAGUUCACUAUUCAUGUUUAAUGUUCUGUUGCCUAAUACGUAAAUGCACUGCCUUGAUGUUUGUUCCCUAUAAGUACAGCAGUGGAAACCAGUACUGUUUUUUUUAUGUAUUUUUAAAAAAGAAAGUGAGCUGCAGCUGUCAAGGUACAGUAAGUGUUAAAUGCAUCAAUGUUCUAAUAGCUGCAAUUGCUGUUAAUACUGAAAAUGUUAUUGAAUUUUAGAAUUGAGAUGGAGACCCUUGGAGUCUUUUUCUCUUGUUUUAUUUAUGAAGCACUUUUUUAUGA